This 71-nucleotide transfer RNA is filed under the name Cordylochernes scorpioides. Its description in RNAcentral is "tRNA-Gly". It matches the Rfam family "tRNA". Rfam says of the family: Transfer RNA (tRNA) molecules are approximately 80 nucleotides in length. The record is from RNAcentral. Lineage: Eukaryota; Metazoa; Arthropoda; Arachnida; Pseudoscorpiones; Chernetidae.
CCAUCGGUGGUUCAGUGGUAGAAUACUCGCCUGCCACGCGGGCUGCCCGGGUUCGAUUCCCGGCGGAUGCA